RNAcentral lists this ribosomal RNA (443 nucleotides) under uncultured bacterium. Its description in RNAcentral is "partial 16S ribosomal RNA". It matches the Rfam family "Bacterial small subunit ribosomal RNA", at positions 338 to 795 of the family's 1533-position model. The record is from RNAcentral.
CCUACGGGAGGCAGCAGUGGGGAAUAUUGGACAAUGGGGGGAACCCUGAUCCAGCGACGCCGCGUGAGUGAAGAAGUAUUUCGGUAUGUAAAGCUCUAUCAGCAGGGAAGAAAGAAAUGACGGUACCUGACUAAGAAGCCCCGGCUAACUACGUGCCAGCAGCCGCUGUAAUACGUAGGGGGCAAGCGUUAUCCGGAUUUACUGGGUGUAAAGGGAGCGUAGACGGCGAUGCAAGUCUGAAGUGAAAGGCGGGGGCCCAACCCCUGGACUGCUUUGGAAACUGUAUGGCUGGAGUGCAGGGGAGGUAAGUGGAAUUCCUAGUGUAGCGGUGAAAUGCGUAGAUAUUAGGAGGAACCCCAGUGGCGAAGGCGGCUUACUGGACUGUAACUGACGUUGAGGCUCGAAAGCGUGGGGAGCAAACAGGAUUAGAUACCCCUGUAGUC